RNAcentral lists this ribosomal RNA (279 nucleotides) under uncultured bacterium. Its description in RNAcentral is "partial 16S ribosomal RNA". It matches the Rfam family "Bacterial small subunit ribosomal RNA", at positions 506 to 784 of the family's 1533-position model. The record is from RNAcentral.
UGCCAGCCGCCGCGGUAAUACGGAGGAUCCAAGCGUUAUCCGGAAUUAUUGGGUUUAAAGGGUCCGCAGGCGGUUUGUUAAGUCAGAGGUGAAAUCCUACCGCUCAACGGUAGAAUUGCCUUUGAUACUGUUAGACUUGAGUUCAGUUGGAGUAGGCGGAAUGUGUAGUGUAGCGGUGAAAUGCUUAGAUAUUACACAGAACACCGAUAGCGAAGGCAGCUUACUAACAAUACACUGACGCUGAGGGACGAAAGCGUGGGUAGCGAACAGGAUUAGAUA